This 329-nucleotide unclassified non-coding RNA is filed under the name soil metagenome. Its description in RNAcentral is "partial contains 5.8S ribosomal RNA, internal transcribed spacer 2, and large subunit ribosomal RNA". The stretch from base 1 to 120 matches the Rfam family "5.8S ribosomal RNA", at positions 35 to 154 of the family's 154-position model. The record is from RNAcentral.
GAUGAAGAACGCAGCGAAAUGCGAUAAGUAAUGUGAAUUGCAGAAUUCAGUGAAUCAUCGAAUCUUUGAACGCACAUUGCGCCCUCUGGUAUUCCGGGGGGCAUGCCUGUUCGAGCGUCAUUAUAACCACUCAAGCUCUCGCUUGGUAUUGGAGUUCGCGAUCUCGCGGCUCCUAAAAUCAGUGGCGGUGCCUGUCGGCUCUACGCGUAGUAAUACUCCUCGCGAUUGAGUCCGGUAGGUUUACUUGCCAGCAACCCCCAAUUUUUACAGGUUGACCUCGGAUCAGGUAGGAAUACCCGCUGAACUUAAGCAUAUCAAUAAGCGGAGGA